RNAcentral lists this ribosomal RNA (253 nucleotides) under uncultured bacterium. RNAcentral's name for it is "partial 16S ribosomal RNA". It matches the Rfam family "Bacterial small subunit ribosomal RNA", at positions 524 to 776 of the family's 1533-position model. The record is from RNAcentral.
UACGUAGGGUGCGAGCGUUAAUCGGAAUUACUGGGCGUAAAGUGUGCGCAGGCGGUUGAGCAAGUCGAGUGUGAAAGCCCCGGGCUUAACUUGGGAAUUGCGCUCGAAACUACUUGACUGGAGUGUGGCAGAGGAAGGUGGAAUUCCACGUGUAGCGGUGAAAUGCGUAGAGAUGUGGAGGAACACCAAUGGCGAAGGCAGCCUUCUGGGCCAACACUGACGCUCAUGCACGAAAGCGUGGGGAGCAAACAGG